AGCCAGACUCCUACGGGAGGCAGCAGUGGGGGAUAUUGCACAAUGGGGGGAACCCUGAUGCAGCGACGCCGCGUGAGCGAGGAAGUAUUUCGGUAUGUAAAGCUCUCUCAGCAGGGACGAAAAAAGACGGUACCUGACUAAGAAGCCCCGGCUAACUACGUGCCAGCAGCCGCGGUAAUACGUAGGGGGCAAGCGUUAUCCGGAUUUACUGGGUGUAAAGGGAGCGUAGACGGCAAGGCAAGCCAGAAGUGAGAGGGCAGGGCUCAACCCUGUACACGCUUUUGGAACUGUGGUGCUAGAGUGCAGGAGAGGUAAGUGGAAUUCCUAGUGUAGCGGUGAAAUGCGUAGAUAUUAGGAGGAACACCAGUGGCGAAGGCGGCUUACUGGACUGUAACUGACGUUGAGGCUCGAAAGCGUGGGGAGCAAACAGGAUUAGAUACCCGGGUAGC
Molecule: ribosomal RNA, 449 nt
Filed under: uncultured bacterium
Lineage: Bacteria
Description: bacterial SSU rRNA
Rfam family: Bacterial small subunit ribosomal RNA
Source: RNAcentral